GAUGAACGCUGGCGGCGUGCCUAAUACAUGCAAGUCGAGCGAACAGACGAGUAGCUUGCUCCUCUGACGUUAGCGGCGGACGGGUGAGUAACACGUGGAUAACCUACCUAUAAGACUGGGAUAACUUCGGGAAACCGUAGCUAAUACCGGAUAAUAUAUUGAACCGCAUGGUUCAAUAGUGAAAGACGGUUUUGCUGUCACUUAUAGAUGGAUCCGCGCCGCAUUAGCUAGUUGGUAAGGUAACGGCUUACCAAGGCGACGAUGCGUAGCCGACCUGAGAGGGUGAUCGGCCACACUGGAACUGAGACACGGUACAGACUCAUACGGGAGGCAGCAGUAGGGAAUCUUCCGCAAUGGGCGAAAGCCUGACGGAGAAACGCCGCGUGAGUGAUGAAGGUAUUCGGAUCGUAAAACGAUGUUAUUAGGGAAGAACAAAUGUGUAAGUAACUAUGCACGUCUUGACGGUACCUAAUCAGAAAGCCACGGCUAACUACGUG
RNAcentral lists this ribosomal RNA (497 nucleotides) under uncultured bacterium. RNAcentral describes it as "partial 16S ribosomal RNA". It matches the Rfam family "Bacterial small subunit ribosomal RNA", at positions 28 to 507 of the family's 1533-position model. The record is from RNAcentral.